GGUUGGUUGGAUCCCUGCUUGGGCAGCGACAUCCCUCGUGCAAGCCUYUUCAAUUUUYGGCCCAAGGGCAACUUAGCCUUGGCCGUGUGUCGGUUUCCUGUGUUGAAUACCUACUAAAACGGAAUUCGUACGUGCGACGUUUUGUUAUUCGCCUAGUGCUGUCCCAUCGGUUGUCCCUUUGGGGUGCGGUGUCGGGUGAACCUCAAAGUGAUCUUCGUGUUCUUCGCCACCCACGAAACGUGCCGUUGGCGCAGCCCACGAGGAUUGCUUGAGCUCUCGGAUGCGGAAUAUGCGGAGGGCAGUAGGCGUACGGCCUCUCUUUGCCCGAAUCAAGCGUUUAUUCGCUCAUUACCGAACGACGGCCGGCGGUGCCCUUGAUGUGCCGAAGCCCACCACGGGUAUUGGCAUCGUCAUGCAUCUCCGGCGUCACUAAGGAAUGCUACCUGGUUGAUCCUGCCAGUAGUCAUAUGCUUGU
RNAcentral lists this unclassified non-coding RNA (475 nucleotides) under Isidorea brachyantha. RNAcentral describes it as "partial external transcribed spacer". Lineage: Eukaryota; Viridiplantae; Streptophyta; Magnoliopsida; Gentianales; Rubiaceae. The record is from RNAcentral.